This 440-nucleotide ribosomal RNA is filed under the name uncultured Janthinobacterium sp. RNAcentral's name for it is "bacterial SSU rRNA". It matches the Rfam family "Bacterial small subunit ribosomal RNA", at positions 358 to 790 of the family's 1533-position model. The record is from RNAcentral. Lineage: Bacteria; Pseudomonadati; Pseudomonadota; Betaproteobacteria; Burkholderiales; Oxalobacteraceae.
GGAAUUUUGGACAAUGGGCGCAAGCCUGAUCCAGCAAUGCCGCGUGAGUGAAGAAGGCCUUCGGGUUGUAAAGCUCUUUUGUCAGGGAAGAAACGGUGAGAGCUAAUAUCUUUUGCUAAUGACGGUACCUGAAGAAUAAGCACCGGCUAACUACGUGCCAGCAGCCGCGGUAAUACGUAGGGUGCAAGCGUUAAUCGGAAUUACUGGGCGUAAAGCGUGCGCAGGCGGUUUUGUAAGUCUGAUGUGAAAUCCCCGGGCUCAACCUGGGAAUUGCAUUGGAGACUGCAAGGCUAGAAUCUGGCAGAGGGGGGUAGAAUUCCACGUGUAGCAGUGAAAUGCGUAGAUAUGUGGAGGAACACCGAUGGCGAAGGCAGCCCCCUGGGUCAAGAUUGACGCUCAUGCACGAAAGCGUGGGGAGCAAACAGGAUUAGAUACCCGAG